Non-coding RNA from Oncorhynchus mykiss (rainbow trout), 1303 nucleotides. Lineage: Eukaryota; Metazoa; Chordata; Actinopteri; Salmoniformes; Salmonidae. The record is from RefSeq and is a predicted model, not a curated record.
GUGGAUGAAUAGUAUUGGGCAGUGGAGGCUGACUCUACGUAAGGACAGGUCUGUGUGGAUGAAUAGUAUUGGGCUGUGGAGGCUGACUCUCCCUAAGGACAGGUCUGUGUGGAUGAAUAGUAUUGGGCUGUGGAGGCUGACUCUCCCUAAUGACAUGUCUGUGUGGAUGAAUAGUAUUGGGCUGUGGAGGCUGACUCUCCCUAAGGACAGGUCUGUGUGUGUGGAUGAAUAGUAUUGGGCUGUGGAGGCUGACUCUCCCUAAGGACAAGUCUGUGUGGAUGAAUAGUAUUGGACAGUGGAGACUGACUCUCCCUAAGGACAGGUCUGUGUGUGUGGAUGAAUAGUAUUGGGCUGUGGAGGCUGACUCUCCCUAAGGAUAGGUCUGUGUGGAUGAAUAGUAUUGGGCUGAGGAGGCUGACUCUCCCUAAGGACAGGUCUGUGUGUGUGGAUGAAUAGUAUUGGGCUGUGGAGGCUGACUCUCCCUAAGGACAGGUCUGUGUGGAUGAAUAGUAUUGGACAGUGGAGGCUGACUCUCCCUAAGGACAGGUCUGUGUGGAUGAAUAGUAUUGGGCUGAGGAGGCUGACUCUACGUAAGGACAGGUCUGUGUGGAUGAAUAGUAUUGGGCUGAGGAGGCUGACUCUACGUAAGGACAGGUCUGUGUGGAUGAAUAGUAUUGGGCUGAGGAGGCUGAGGAGGCUGACUCUACGUAAGGACAGGUCUCUGUGGAUGAAUAGUAUUGGGCUGUGGAGGCUGACUCUCCCUAAGGACAGGUCUGUGUGGAUGAAUAGUAUUGGGCUGUGGAGGCUGACUCUCCCUAAGGACAGGUCUGUGUGGAUGAAUAGUAUUGGGCUGAGGAGGCUGACUCUACGUAAGGACAGGUCUCUGUGGAUGAAUAGUAUUGGACAGUGGAGGCUGACUCUCCCUAAGGACAGGUCUGUGUGGAUGAAUAGUAUUGGGCUGUGGAGGCUGACUCUCCCUAAUGACAGGUCUGUGUGGAUGAAUAGUAUUGGGCUGAGGAGGCUGACUCUCCCUAAGGACAGUGUGUGACUGACUGUAUGUGAGCAAAUGUGUGUGGAGGGACAGAGAGAGUAGGGACUGUUGUACUCUCCAGGGGAAGAGAAAAACAGAGGAGUGAGUUGAAAGAAGACAGGAAAAGGAAGAGAGAUAGAGACUGAGAACGAGAGAGAGGAAGAUAGAGAGAGAUGGGGCCGGUGAAGAGGCCGGGUAGAUUUGCUGCCUGACUCGGUUGCCAGGGGCUACCUGUGUAACUGUGUGUGUGUGUGUGUGUGUGUGUGUGUGUGU